Molecule: ribosomal RNA, 1372 nt
Filed under: uncultured bacterium
Lineage: Bacteria
Description: bacterial SSU rRNA
Rfam family: Bacterial small subunit ribosomal RNA
Source: RNAcentral
GAUGAACGCUGGCGGCGUGCCUAAUACAUGCAAGUCGAGCGAACGGACGAGAAGCUUGCUUCUCUGAUGUUAGCGGCGGACGGGUGAGUAACACGUGGAUAACCUACCUAUAAGACUGGGAUAACUUCGGGAAACCGGAGCUAAUACCGGAUAAUAUUUUGAACCGCAUGGUUCAAAAGUGAAAGACGGUCUUGCUGUCACUUAUAGAUGGAUCCGCGCUGCAUUAGCUAGUUGGUAAGGUAACGGCUUACCAAGGCAACGAUGCAUAGCCGACCUGAGAGGGUGAUCGGCCACACUGGAACUGAGACACGGUCCAGACUCCUACGGGAGGCAGCAGUAGGGAAUCUUCCGCAAUGGGCGAAAGCCUGACGGAGCAACGCCGCGUGAGUGAUGAAGGUCUUCGGAUCGUAAAACUCUGUUAUUAGGGAAGAACAUAUGUGUAAGUAACUGUGCACAUCUUGACGGUACCUAAUCAGAAAGCCACGGCUAACUACGUGCCAGCAGCCGCGGUAAUACGUAGGUGGCAAGCGUUAUCCGGAAUUAUUGGGCGUAAAGCGCGCGUAGGCGGUUUUUUAAGUCUGAUGUGAAAGCCCACGGCUCAACCGUGGAGGGUCAUUGGAAACUGGAAAACUUGGGUGCAGAAGAGGAAAGUGGAAUUCCAUGUGUAGCGGUGAAAUGCGCAGAGAUAUGGAGGAACACCAGUGGCGAAGGCGACUUUCUGGUCUGUAACUGACGCUGAUGUGCGAAAGCGUGGGGAUCAAACAGGAUUAGAUACCCUGGUAGUCCACGCCGUAAACGAUGAGUGCUAAGUGUUAGGGGGUUUCCGCCCCUUAGUGCUGCAGCUAACGCAUUAAGCACUCCGCCUGGGGAGUACGACCGCAAGGUUGAAACUCAAAGGAAUUGACGGGGACCCGCACAAGCGGUGGAGCAUGUGGUUUAAUUCGAAGCAACGCGAAGAACCUUACCAAAUCUUGACAUCCUUUGACAACUCUAGAGAUAGAGCUUUCCCCUUCGGGGGACAAAGUGACAGGUGGUGCAUGGUUGUCGUCAGCUCGUGUCGUGAGAUGUUGGGUUAAGUCCCGCAACGAGCGCAACCCUUAAGCUUAGUUGCCAUCAUUAAGUUGGGCACUCUAAGUUGACUGCCGGUGACAGACCGGAGGAAGGUGGGGAUGACGUCAAAUCAUCAUGCCCCUUAUGAUUUGGGCUACACACGUGCUACAAUGGACAAUACAAAGGGCAGCGAAACCGCGAGGUCAAGCAAAUCCCAUAAAGUUGUUCUCAGUUCGGAUUGUAGUCUGCAACUCGACUACAUGAAGCUGGAAUCGCUAGUAAUCGUAGAUCAGCAUGCUACGGUGAAUACGUUCCCGGGUCU